UGGGGAAUAUUGCGCAAUGGGGGAAACCCUGACGCAGCGACGCCGCGUGAGCGAAGAAGGCCUUAGGGUUGUAAAGCUCUGUUUUAGGGGACGAAAGUUAUGGGGAGUAAAAUGCACUAUAAAAGACGGUACCCUAAGAGGAAGCCCCGGCUAACUACGUGCCAGCAGCCGCGGUAAGACGUAGGGGGCGAGCGUUGUCCGGAAUUACUGGGCGUAAAGAGCACGUAGGCGGGAACUUAAGUCAGAUGUGAAAGACCGGGGCUCAACUCCGGGGUUGCAUAUGAAACUGGGUUUCUUGAGGGCAGGAGAGGAAAGCAGAAUUCCUGGUGUAGCGGUGAAAUGCGUAGAAAUCAGGAGGAACACCGGUGGCGAAGGCGACUUUCUGGACUGACCCUGACGCUGAGGUGCGAAAGCGUGGGUAGCAAACAGG
RNAcentral lists this ribosomal RNA (430 nucleotides) under uncultured prokaryote. RNAcentral describes it as "bacterial SSU rRNA". It matches the Rfam family "Bacterial small subunit ribosomal RNA", at positions 355 to 776 of the family's 1533-position model. The record is from RNAcentral. RNAcentral also lists the same sequence under 1 other name.